This 138-nucleotide small nucleolar RNA is filed under the name Ornithorhynchus anatinus (platypus). The record is from RNAcentral. Lineage: Eukaryota; Metazoa; Chordata; Mammalia; Monotremata; Ornithorhynchidae.
GUUCUCUGAGGAUGGCACCUGGAGAGUUUCCAGUACUCUACCAGUCUCAGCUAUGGGAGGGAGAGUAAAGCAGAGGCCUACCUAUUCCAUUCCUAGCUUGGCCAGUGGCUAGCAAGUAGAAGGAAAUCUGCUACAAGU